This 301-nucleotide ribosomal RNA is filed under the name uncultured bacterium. RNAcentral's name for it is "partial 16S ribosomal RNA". It matches the Rfam family "Bacterial small subunit ribosomal RNA", at positions 509 to 807 of the family's 1533-position model. The record is from RNAcentral.
CAGUAGCCGCGGUAAUACGGAGGGUGCAAGCGUUAAUCGGAAUUACUGGGCGUAAAGCGCGCGUAGGUGGUUCUUUAAGUUGGAUGUGAAAUCCCCGGGCUCAACCUGGGAACUGCAUCCAAAACUGGCGAGCUAGAGUAGGGCAGAGGGUGGUGGAAUUUCCUGUGUAGCGGUGAAAUGCGUAGAUAUAGGAAGGAACACCAGUGGCGAAGGCGACCACCUGGGCUCAUACUGACACUGAUGUGCGAAAGCGUGGGGAGCAAACAGGAUUAGAUACCCCCGUAGUCCCUGUCUCUUAUAC